GCGGGAGUAGCUCAGUGGUAGAGCUCCUGCCUUCCAAGCAGGCUGUCGCGAGUUCAAGUCUCGUCUCCCGCU
RNAcentral lists this transfer RNA (72 nucleotides) under Chloroflexota bacterium. Its description in RNAcentral is "tRNA-Gly". It matches the Rfam family "tRNA". Rfam says of the family: Transfer RNA (tRNA) molecules are approximately 80 nucleotides in length. RNAcentral also lists the same sequence under 2 other names. Lineage: Bacteria; Bacillati; Chloroflexota. The record is from RNAcentral.